UAUUUAUUAUCGCGGCAGUCGCAUUUCGUAUAUUAUACUCGUAUUAUAUUAUUAUAUACAGAUAGGCAGGUAGGUACGCAAUGUUAUUAUACGCAUCUGUGUUUGUUAUAAUUCGCAUUAUAUUAUACCACACCGCCGGUUGCCGGCUGCAGUGUAGUUGUAUAGUUGUUGAUGGCCGUCGGAUUAUCGCAUACUACCGCUCGCCGUCGGUAAAUAAAUCGCAAUCGUCCGCGCAUCGAUAUAAUAUACGCAUACAUUACUAUAGAAAUAUAAUAA
Cinara cedri is the source of this 276-nucleotide non-coding RNA. The record is from the annotation of a GenBank genome assembly. NCBI's taxonomy places the organism in Eukaryota, Metazoa, Arthropoda, Insecta, Hemiptera, Aphididae.